RNAcentral lists this microRNA (22 nucleotides) under Euprymna scolopes. RNAcentral's name for it is "Esc-Mir-12539_5p (mature (guide))". Lineage: Eukaryota; Metazoa; Mollusca; Cephalopoda; Sepiida; Sepiolidae. The record is from RNAcentral.
CCUGUGCAAAAAGUCGUUAAGC